GCCGAGGUGGUGAAAUUGGUAGACACGUUACUUUGAGGUGGUAAUGCUCAUUUGAGCUUACGGGUUCAAGUCCCGUCCUCGGUACUA
RNAcentral lists this transfer RNA (87 nucleotides) under Pantoea sp. Aalb. RNAcentral describes it as "tRNA-Leu". It matches the Rfam family "tRNA". From Rfam's summary of the family: Transfer RNA (tRNA) molecules are approximately 80 nucleotides in length. Their secondary structure includes four short double-helical elements and three loops (D, anti-codon, and T loops). Further hydrogen bonds mediate the characteristic L-shaped molecular structure. tRNAs have two regions of fundamental functional importance: the anti-codon, which is responsible for specific mRNA codon recognition, and the 3' end, to which the tRNAs corresponding amino acid is attached (by aminoacyl-tRNA synthetases). tRNAs cope with the degeneracy of the genetic code in two manners: having more than one tRNA (with a specific anti-codon) for a particular amino acid; and 'wobble' base-pairing, i.e. permitting non-standard base-pairing at the 3rd anti-codon position. Lineage: Bacteria; Pseudomonadati; Pseudomonadota; Gammaproteobacteria; Enterobacterales; Erwiniaceae. The record is from RNAcentral.